Molecule: ribosomal RNA, 552 nt
Filed under: Bacillus sp. CH315_11T
Lineage: Bacteria; Bacillati; Bacillota; Bacilli; Caryophanales; Bacillaceae
Description: bacterial SSU rRNA
Rfam family: Bacterial small subunit ribosomal RNA
Source: RNAcentral
CGGCGGACGGGUGAGUAACACGUGGGUAACCUGCCUGUAAGAACUGGGAUAACUCCGGGAAACCGGGGCUAAUACCGGAUAACACCUACCCCCGCAUGGGGGAAGGUUGAAAGGUGGCUUCGGCUAUCACUUACAGAUGGACCCGCGGCGCAUUAGCUAGUUGGUGAGGUAAUGGCUCACCAAGGCGACGAUGCGUAGCCGACCUGAGAGGGUGAUCGGCCACACUGGGACUGAGACACGGCCCAGACUCCUACGGGAGGCAGCAGUAGGGAAUCUUCCGCAAUGGACGAAAGUCUGACGGAGCAACGCCGCGUGAGUGAAGAAGGUUUUCGGAUCGUAAAACUCUGUUGUUAGGGAAGAACAAGUGCCGUUCGAAUAGGGCGGCGCCUUGACGGUACCUAACCAGAAAGCCACGGCUAACUACGUGCCAGCAGCCGCGGUAAUACGUAGGUGGCAAGCGUUGUCCGGAAUUAUUGGGCGUAAAGCGCGCGCAGGUGGUUUCUUAAGUCUGAUGUGAAAGCCCACGGCUCAACCGUGGAGGGUCAUUGGAAA